AUGGACAAGUACAAGCUGUCUAAAGAAAGGAGAGAUGAAUUAGAGUUUAUAUUUAAUGAAUUCAAUAAAAAGAAAAAAGGAUUAGAUGGAAACACGUUGUUAUAUAUUUUAAAAUCAAUGGGUAUAUUCCUUAAUAAAAGCGAAUCAGCCGCUUUGUUAGAUGAAUGUAAACAAAACGGUAAUUUAAAUUUAAAUAAUUUUUACGCUAUUAUGCAAGAAUUUUAUUAUGAUGAAAAUAUAGGGAAAAUGAUAUUUUCAUCAUUAAAAAAACAUACUACACAGAAUGCUAAUGGCAUUGCUUUAUCAAAAUUAAAAAAUAUAUUGUUGACAUUAGGUUCUGGCGUAAUGUUAACAGAAGAAGAAGUAGACACUUUUUUUAAAAUGGAAUUCAGUGCAAAUGAAAAGAAAGAAAUAUUAUUUGAUGAUUUUAUACACAAGAUACUAAAGGAAUGAUUGACAAAAACGUUUUAUCGACAAAUAACAAAUUAUAUACGUGGAUUCCCUAUUUUUUUUUUUCUUUUAUAUAUUAUGACUGACUAUAUGAACAUGCUAGAAGCAAUUUAUUUCAUUUCGUCUUUAUUCAUCAUAUAGCUUAUGUUUAAAACUUAAAAUAUAACAUUCAUUUUUUUUUUCUUUUGUUUACACCACUUAUUAAAUUUAUAAAACUAAAAAAAACAUGUUAUUCAUGUUCAUUUCAAACAAAAUAAACAUUUUCUUCAAAUGCUAUUUAUAAUUUCA
This 738-nucleotide long non-coding RNA is filed under the name Piliocolobus tephrosceles (Ugandan red Colobus). RNAcentral describes it as "lncRNA (ENSPTEG00000032676.1)". Lineage: Eukaryota; Metazoa; Chordata; Mammalia; Primates; Cercopithecidae. The record is from RNAcentral.